GGGGAAUCUUGCGCAAUGGGCGAAAGCCUGACGCAGCGACGCCGCGUGAGUGAUGAAGGCCUUCGGGUUGUAAAGCUCUGUGGGGAGAGACGAAUAAGUGCAGACGAAUACUCUGCAUGAUGACGGUAUCUCCUUAGCAAGCACCGGCUAACUCUGUGCCAGCAGCCGCGGUAAGACAGAGGGUGCAAACGUUGUUCGGAAUUACUGGGCGUAAAGCGUGUGUAGGCGGUCGACUAAGUCGGGUGUGAAAGCCCAGGGCUCAACCCUGGAAGUGCACUCGAUACUGGUUGGCUAGAGUACUGGAGAGGUUGGUGGAAUUCUCGGUGUAGAGGUGAAAUUCGUAGAUAUCGAGAGGAACACCGGUGGCGAAGGCGGCCAACUGGACAGAUACUGACGCUGAGACACGAAAGCGUGGGGAGCAAAC
Molecule: ribosomal RNA, 424 nt
Filed under: uncultured bacterium
Lineage: Bacteria
Description: bacterial SSU rRNA
Rfam family: Bacterial small subunit ribosomal RNA
Source: RNAcentral